UUGAUCACACUUCUUUCCAUCUCCCGCCUCUAGUUCCUUGAACUACGAAGCUCUGAAUUCCUUAUUGUACUAUGAGGAUACGUAGGCAUGAGGGCAUCAAUCCUCAUCGAACACUUUAUCUAUUUCUCUUCCUUUUCCCAUUCUUUUGCGAGUAAUCUUUAGAUAUCACACCUAUUCGAGCGAGAACAAUCGAAAUGGAGUACCAUGGAUGUUUGGGGUGCUAAUAUUUUCCCCUUGCAUAACCGACUUCCUUA
Molecule: long non-coding RNA, 254 nt
Filed under: Lathyrus oleraceus (garden pea)
Lineage: Eukaryota; Viridiplantae; Streptophyta; Magnoliopsida; Fabales; Fabaceae
Description: Pisum sativum (pea) long non-coding RNA (PSAT_LNC018466)
Source: RNAcentral